UGCCUAAUGCUUGCUUGGACCAGUAUAA
Molecule: non-coding RNA, 28 nt
Filed under: Homo sapiens (human)
Lineage: Eukaryota; Metazoa; Chordata; Mammalia; Primates; Hominidae
Source: RNAcentral